Long non-coding RNA from Oncorhynchus masou masou (cherry salmon), 2033 nucleotides. RefSeq lists it as uncharacterized. Lineage: Eukaryota; Metazoa; Chordata; Actinopteri; Salmoniformes; Salmonidae. The record is from RefSeq and is a predicted model, not a curated record. The transcript is spliced from 7 exons.
UACCUUGGUUGAAUUUAAAAAGCCCCAACUCAGACUCAGACUCCAGUUCAUUCAUUUCUCAGUGUACAUGUAACACCAGAGGACAGAGAAUGAAGGAAAUACCACUGUCUGUCAUUAUUGUACUACACAUCUGGUCCUACGGUGUUAAAGCUCAAGAAUCUGGAAAAGGCUGUCAAAGACCCCAACUGGUCAAUGGCUUUGUUGACCCGGAGCAGAACAUGUACCAGGAUGGCAUGACUUUGACUUAUGCCUGUGAUAAAGGUCUGAAAACACCAAUGGAAGGCUGGUGGGGGAUGAUUACAUGUGAGAAUGGUAGAUGGUCUGAUACUCCUCUGUGUACGGCCAGUCGUUCUUGUGAUGCACCUCCUCAAGUGAACCAUGCAACCGUUGUUCAACAAUAUCAAAACAAGUUUAGUAAUGGAUCAAAAGUGGUUUAUAAAUGCAAACGAUCCUACAUAAUGGAAGGGAAUGCAGAUGUAGUCUGCCUUAGGAGAAUGGACCUCAGCCCCCACAUGCAGUCAUGAGGCCUUACGGAAGUGUAGGGACAGCCAGUUUCAGUGCAAUAACAAAAGGUGUUUACCGACCAUAUGGAGGUGCGACGGCGAUGACGACUGUUCAGACAACAGCGACGAGGAAAACUGUGAAUAUGAACUACCAUGUCAUCCCAUUCAGGUUAUGAAAAUGUAGAUCAUAACGGGUUGUUCAUGAUGAAGAUGUGACUUACCGAAAGACCCGAGGAUGGAUAAUACCUUGUCCAUUUGUUCACAUAUUACAACAUAUGUGUAUUUUCUUAACAGGGCUAGGAACAGCAAAUCACCCGAAGAGAGGAAAAGAAAAAUAGAUUGUUUAGGAUAAAACUGAUAAAUGUAGCUUUUACAUUUGGGUCAUGAUAUAGAAAAUGAUUUACAGCACAAGGGCUUCAAAAUUCAAGAGGCACUCGCACAUCUAAGCAGUCUUUUUUUGCAGGUGCAUGGUAACAGUUGAACAAGAUGAAGGACAAAGGAAACCGCACACUGCUCUUGAUAGUAUCACUGAUCUUUAAUGAGCUUACGUAUCGGCCUCACGGCCUUCGUCAGGGCCGUGCACAAGGGGUUAAAAUGGAGGGGAGCAGAGUAGGGUUCCAUCAUGACCGAUCUCCAUCAUCUUAGGACUGGAUAGAGCCUCCUGGGUGGCGCAGUGUUCUAAGGCUGUGCCAGUAGAUAUCCUGGUUCGAGUCCAGGCUCUGUCGCAGCCGCGCAGCCGGCAGGGAUGUUCUUGUCCCGUUGUGCUCAAAUGACUCCUGUGGUGGGAUGAGUGCAAUGCAUGCUGACAUGAUCACAAGGUGUGCAAUAGUAAAGAACUGCUCAUGACUGGAUUACAUUUGGAAACAACAAUCUGAAACUGUCAAUAAAUGAAUGUGUAUGUGGGACACUGAUCCUCCUCUAUCUUACAUAUGGUUUUCUUUAUUUAGAGGUUGAAUUGGACAGAAGUCAAGUUUAUUUAGAGGUUGAAUUGGACAGAAGUCAAGUUUAUUUAGAGGUUGAAUUGGACAGAAGUCAAGUUUAUUUAGAGGUUGAAUUGGACAGAAGUCAAGUUUAUUUAGAGGUUGUAUUGGAUAGAAGUCAAGUUUAUUUAGAGGUUGAAUUGGACAGAAGUCAAGUUUAUUUAGAGGUUGAAUUGGACAGAGAAGUUGAGUUUAUUUAGAGGUUGUAUUGGACAGAAGUCAAGUUUAUUUAGAGGUUGAAUUGGACAGAAGUCAAGUUUAUUUAGAGGUUGUAUUGGACAGAAGUCAAGUUUAUUUAGAGGUUGUAUUGGACAGAAGUCAAGUUUAUUUAGAGGUUGUAUUGGAUAGAAGUCAAGUUUAUUUAGAGGUUGUAUUGGACAGAAGUCAAGUUUAUUUAGAAGAUGUAUUGGACAGAAGUUGAGUUUAUUUAGAGGUUGUAUUGGACAGAAGUCAAGUUUAUUUAGAAGUUGUAUUGGACAGAAGUUGAGUUUAUUUAGAGGUUGUAUUGGACAGAAGUCGAGUUUAUUUAGAGGUUGAAUUGGACAGAGAA